RNAcentral lists this long non-coding RNA (1512 nucleotides) under Olea europaea subsp. europaea. Lineage: Eukaryota; Viridiplantae; Streptophyta; Magnoliopsida; Lamiales; Oleaceae. The record is from RNAcentral.
CAAGAAUCUGGAAACUGGAAACGGGGCAGAAGCUGGGAGAAUUCGAGAAAGAGAGGGAGAAAGAGAGAAAAAGGAAAAAAGAAGGAAAUGGAAGAGGCUGAUGAUUUUUGUAAGUUUGGGUUCUUCAUUUCUUCAGCUUAUCACUUUUUUUAGAGAGGUAAGUUAAUUAAAUUUCUAGGGUUUAUGGAACAUUCAUUUAUAUUCGAAGUUUAGCAAGAAUUAGAGAUUAUUAUUAUGUUUUUGAGGUAUUAAACAAGAAUAUAUCAAAGGAAUGUAUAUUUGAAAAUUUGUGAUGAAGAAAAUGGAAUUUUGAAGGGGUUUGUGAGAUAAGUGUUUACUCUUUGAUUUUCUUGUGAUUAUAUAAUACUGAACACUUAAAUUAGGGAUUUGAGAUUGGAAUUUCCCAUUUUUUUUAAAGUAAUUUUCGGGUUACUGUAGUAUAGGUGCUGUUUCUGAUAGUGUGCACAGAAUGGUGCCACUUCUGUCAAUAGUUUUGGUGUCAAAUUUCAAUAUUGAGAAAUUGGUGUCACAUUUCAAUAUUCUGGAAUUUUAGUGCUGUCUUUGUCAAACCUUUGAUUUUCACAUUUUAAAGGCUUGAAUGAAGUUUUAUGACAAGUAUUGAGAUUUAUGUAUUGGAAUAAAUUAUGCAUAGGGGUUGUAUAUGUAUAAGUUAUUGAUUUUAAGGAAGUGAGAGUAAUUUAAUGGAUUUAAUAAUGCAUGGUAUUUAGUUGAUAAAUCAUUAAAGAGAAGAAAGUUAGAGAAUUGGAAAUGUAAGAGUAAGUAUAGAAGUUGAGAAGUUAAGUGGUGGAUUUAUAUUAAUUUAAUUGUUAGAUUUUAAUUCGAGAAAUUAUACCGUUAUUUCAGGCGGGAAUGUGGAAGCUUGGAAAUCUUCGUCAAUUUAAGCAAAUUUCUAUUCAUAGAUCUGUGAGUGGAAAAAUAUAAAUAUUUUUAGAGUAUUUAUAAAUUAAGUUUAUUGUUAAAGUAUGUGUAAUUAUAUGCAAUUAUGUGUUCGAAUUAAAUGAUUUUUAUGGAAAUAUCUUUUAUUAUAAUAUAUGUGGGAUUUCAAAGAUUGUAUACGUUACAUUGUGAAUUGGAAUAUGAGAUAUAAUUUUGAGAUCGACCAGAAGAGUACCCGUGAUUAUAUAUUUCUUCUAGUUCACUGAGGGGCCUUGAUCGUGUUCUAUACUACACAGAGGGGUCAUGGACCGAGGAUGAAGGGGUCUCGACCGUGUACAUAUAGUUCACUGAGGGGCCCUGGUUGUGUUCUAGAAUUGAUUUUGAGAGGUUUUUGACUCCGACUUUCGUUCACGGAGGAGCUAAAGGCCCGUGGCGAAAGUUCCUUGCCCAAGAGGCGGAUUACAUAUUUCAAUCAAAGGGUAUAUUUUUGAUGGAUUUUUCAGUACGUUUGAUGUGAUGAGAUUAUAGCAUGGUUAUCAGCUAAUGUCUAUAUCAUGAUUUUGAGAUGAUAUUUUACGACCUUAUGUGAAUAUUUCACUUUUUGGUUAUAAUUAC